This 433-nucleotide ribosomal RNA is filed under the name uncultured bacterium. Its description in RNAcentral is "partial 16S ribosomal RNA". It matches the Rfam family "Bacterial small subunit ribosomal RNA", at positions 29 to 507 of the family's 1533-position model. The record is from RNAcentral.
AACGAACGCUGGCGGCAUGCCUAACACAUGCAAGUCGAACGAUCCCUUCGGGGAUAGUGGCGCACGGGCGCGUAACGCGUGGGAACCUGCCCUUAGGUUCGGAAUAACUCAGAGAAAUUUGAGCUAAUACCGGAUAAUGUCUUCGGACCAAAGAUUUAUCGCCUUUGGAUGGGCCCGCGUUGGAUUAGCUAGUUGGUGGGGUAAAGGCCUACCAAGGCGACGAUCCAUAGCUGGUCUGAGAGGAUGAUCAGCCACACUGGGACUGAGACACGGCCCAGACUCCUACGGGAGGCAGCAGUGGGGAAUAUUGGACAAUGGGCGAAAGCCUGAUCCAGCAAUGCCGCGUGAGUGAUGAAGGCCUUAGGGUUGUAAAGCUCUUUUACCCGGGAUGAUAAUGACAGUACCGGGAGAAUAAGCCCCGGCUAACUCCGUG